GACGCUUUUAUAGUGCCAUUUCCUGGCCUUGCCACUGUUCUGCUAUGGUUACAUUUCCGAGUGAAGACUGUAAUAGUUUUGCUGCCAAUCAACUUGGUUGGAAGGGGUAACGAUAUUCGACAAGCCAUCGAGUCAAGUGAUAGGUCCAUCAAAGGUUAAAGAGACGAUGGGACAAAGGAAAUCAGUUCAUCAACAGGU
This is a long non-coding RNA of Lytechinus pictus (painted urchin), 198 nucleotides long. RefSeq lists it as uncharacterized. The transcript is spliced from 3 exons. The record is from RefSeq and is a predicted model, not a curated record. NCBI's taxonomy places the organism in Eukaryota, Metazoa, Echinodermata, Echinoidea, Temnopleuroida, Toxopneustidae.